CAAUGCUGCGGUGAAUACGUUCCCGGGCCUUGUACACACCGCCCGUCAAGCCAUGGAAGCUGGGGGUACCUGAAGACGGUAACCGUAAGGAACCGUUUAGGGUAAAACCGGUAACUGGGGCU
This 122-nucleotide ribosomal RNA is filed under the name uncultured bacterium. Its description in RNAcentral is "partial 16S ribosomal RNA". It matches the Rfam family "Bacterial small subunit ribosomal RNA", at positions 1353 to 1482 of the family's 1533-position model. The record is from RNAcentral.